This 320-nucleotide non-coding RNA is filed under the name Candidatus Pantoea alvi. The record is from RNAcentral. RNAcentral also lists the same sequence under 1 other name. Lineage: Bacteria; Pseudomonadati; Pseudomonadota; Gammaproteobacteria; Enterobacterales; Erwiniaceae.
UAUGGCUGGUGCUGGCGUACGUUUGAGUAACCUGCAAAAGUUCCUGGAUAGCGGACUUAGCGAGGUUCACAGCUCAGCCAGCCGCCUCGUGACGUCACCGAUGCGUUAUCGUAAAGCCGGUGUCUCCAUGUGUUCCGAAGCCGAAAUGGAUGAGUUCAGCCGCUACUGCGUGGAUAGCGAUGUGGUGGAAGCCAUGAAAAGCGUGAUGCAGCUUAAUACCGUCAGGGUAGCCUGAAUCACCACAGAUUUUGCCGCGCAGCACGCCUUAUGACGUGAUGUUUGCAAGUACCAAACCCCAGUUAUCUUGCUGGGGUUCUUUU